This 71-nucleotide transfer RNA is filed under the name Loxodonta africana (African savanna elephant). It matches the Rfam family "tRNA". Rfam says of the family: Transfer RNA (tRNA) molecules are approximately 80 nucleotides in length. Their secondary structure includes four short double-helical elements and three loops (D, anti-codon, and T loops). Lineage: Eukaryota; Metazoa; Chordata; Mammalia; Proboscidea; Elephantidae. The record is from Rfam by way of RNAcentral.
GCAGUGGCGGUUCAGUUGUAGAAUUCUUGCCUUCCAUAUGGGAUAUCUGGGUUCAAUUCCUGGCCAAUGCA